This 502-nucleotide ribosomal RNA is filed under the name uncultured bacterium. RNAcentral describes it as "bacterial SSU rRNA". It matches the Rfam family "Bacterial small subunit ribosomal RNA", at positions 28 to 523 of the family's 1533-position model. The record is from RNAcentral.
GAUGAACGCUAGCGGCAGGCUUAAUACAUGCAAGUCGUGGGGCAGCGCAGUGUAGCAAUACAUGGGCGGCGACCGGCAAACGGGUGCGGAACACGUACGCAACCUUCCUUUAAGUGGGGGAUAGCCCAGGGAAACUUGGAUUAAUACCCCGUAAUACUAUGAAGUGGCAUCACUUUAUAAUUAUAGCUCCGGCGCUUAAAGAUGGGCGUGCGCCUGAUUAGGUAGUUGGCGGGGUAACGGCCCACCAAGCCUUCGAUCAGUAACUGGUGUGAGAGCACGACCAGUCACACGGGCACUGAGACACGGGCCCGACUCCUACGGGAGGCAGCAGUAAGGAAUAUUGGUCAAUGGACGCAAGUCUGAACCAGCCAUGCCGCGUGGAGGAUGAAGGUCCUCUGGAUUGUAAACUUCUUUUAUUUGGGAAGAAACCCACGAUUUCUAUUGUGGUUGACGGUACCAGAUGAAUAAGCACCGGCUAACUCCGUGCCAGCAGCCGCGGUAA